This 385-nucleotide ribosomal RNA is filed under the name uncultured bacterium. RNAcentral's name for it is "bacterial SSU rRNA". It matches the Rfam family "Bacterial small subunit ribosomal RNA", at positions 370 to 772 of the family's 1533-position model. The record is from RNAcentral.
AAUGGGGGAAACCCUGAUGCAGCAACGCCGCGUGAGUGAAGAAGGCCUUCGGGUUGUAAAGCUCUGUCUUCAGGGACGAUAAUGACGGUACCUGAGGAGGAAGCCACGGCUAACUACGUGCCAGCAGCCGCGGUAAUACGUAGGUGGCGAGCGUUGUCCGGAUUUACUGGGCGUAAAGGGAGCGUAGGCGGACUUUUAAGUGGGAUGUGAAAUACCCGGGCUUAACUCGGGUGCUGCAUUCCAAACUGGGAGUCUAGAGUGCAGGAGAGGAAAGUGGAAUUCCUAGUGUAGCGGUGAAAUGCGUAGAGAUUAGGAAGAACACCAGUGGCGAAGGCGACUUUCUGGACUGUAACUGACGCUGAGGCUCGAAAGCGUGGGGAGCAAA